GAUGAACGCUGGCGGCGUGCCUAAUACAUGCAAGUCGAGCGAACAGACGAGGAGCUUGCUCCUCUGAUGUUAGCGGCGGACGGGUGAGUAACACGUGGAUAACCUACCUAUAAGACUGGGAUAACUUCGGGAAACCGGAGCUAAUACCGGAUAAUAUAUUGAACCGCAUGGUUCAAUAGUUAAAUACGGUUUUGCUGUCACUUAUAUAUGGAUCCGCGCGGCAUUAGCUAUUUGGUAAGGUAACGGCUUACCAAGGCAACGAUGCCUAGCCGACCUGACAGGUGAAGCGCCCAAAUUGAAACGGGGCACGGGCCCGACUCCUAAGGGAGGCAGGCGGAGGGAAUCUUCCGCAAUGGGCGAAAGGCUGACGGAGCAAAGCCGCGUGGGGGAUGAAGGUCUUCGGAUCGUAAAACUCUUGUAUUAGGGAAGAAAAAAUGUGUAAGUAACUAUGCAAGUCUUGACGGUACCUAAUCAAAAAGCCAAGGCUAACUACGUG
This 496-nucleotide ribosomal RNA is filed under the name uncultured bacterium. Its description in RNAcentral is "partial 16S ribosomal RNA". It matches the Rfam family "Bacterial small subunit ribosomal RNA", at positions 28 to 507 of the family's 1533-position model. The record is from RNAcentral.